RNAcentral lists this ribosomal RNA (459 nucleotides) under uncultured bacterium. RNAcentral describes it as "partial 16S ribosomal RNA". It matches the Rfam family "Bacterial small subunit ribosomal RNA", at positions 338 to 795 of the family's 1533-position model. The record is from RNAcentral.
CCUACGGGGGGCUGCAGUGAGGAAUAUUGGUCAAUGGCCGCAGGGCUGAACCAGCCAAGUCGCGUGAGGGAUGACGGUCCUAUGGAUUGUAAACCUCUUUUGUCAGGGAGCAAAGGGCGCCACGUGUGGCGCUUUGCGAGUACCUGAAGAAAAAGCAUCGGCUAACUCCGUGCCAGCAGCCGCGGUAAUACGGAGGAUGCGAGCGUUAUCCGGAUUUAUUGGGUUUAAGGGGUGCGCAGGCGGAAUGUCAAGUCAGCGGUAAAAUUUCGGGGCUCAACCCCGUCGUGCCGUUGAAACUGGCGUUCUUGAGUGAGCGAGAAGUAUGCGGAAUGCGUGGUGUAGCGGUGAAAUGCAUAGAUAUCACGCAGAACUCCGAUUGCGAAGGCAGCAUACCGGCGCUCAACUGACGCUCAUGCACGAAAGCGUGGGUAUCGAACAGGAUUAGAUACCCUGGUAGUC